CCAGUUUUGCUCCAAGGACCAAUCGGGCGGUGCCUUAGAGCCACAAGUGAUUGAGCCAUGCCGCCUAGAAAAGCUUCUAAGCGUUGAUAUUUGAGUGACCGUACCGCAAACCGACACUGGUAGGUGGGUAGAAUAUACCAAGGGUAGCGAGAGAACCCUCGUUAAGGAAUUAGGCAAAUUUCCCCCGUACGUUCGCAAUAAGGGGGGCCUCUGGUGGUGAGCUUAAUCGCAAAGCUGCUGGAGGCCGCAGAGAAAUGGCUCUUCCAACUGUUUAACAAAAACACAGGUCUCUGCUAAGUCGAAAGACGAAGUAUAGGGGCUGACGCCUGCCCAGUGCUGGAAGGUUAAGGGGAGAGGUUAGGCGCAAGCCGAAGCUUUGAGCCGAAGCCCCAGUGAACGGCGGCCGUAACAAUAACGGUCCUAAGGUAGCGAAAUUCCUUGUCGGGUAAGAUCCGACCCGCACGAAUGGCGUAAUGAGAGGAGCACUGUCUCAACGAGGGACUCGGCGAACAUUGAAGGACGUGUGAAGAUACACGUGACCCGCAGCGGGACAAAAAGACCCCGUGAAGCUUUACUACAACUUGCCAUUGAGUUAGGGCUAAACCCGUGUAGUAUAGGUGGGAGGCUUUGAAGCUGGGACGCCAGUCUCGGUGGAGCCACCGUUGAAAUACCACCCUGGUUUAUUCUUGGCUCUAACCUGUCGCCGUUAUCCGGCAUGGGAACAGUGGCUGGUGGGUAGUUUGACUGGGGCGGUCGCCUCCGAAAGCGUAACAGAGGCGCCCAAAGGUUCCCUCAGGCUGAAUGGAAACCAGCCGUUGAGUGUAAAGGCACAAGGGAGCUUGACUGCAAGACCAACAAGUCGCGCAGGGACGAAAGUCGGGCUUAGUGAUCCCACGGUUCAGAGUGGAAUGGCCGUGGCUUACCGGAUAAAAGCUACUCCGGGGAUAACAGGGUAGUCUGGUCCAAGAGUUCAUAUCAACGACCAGGUUCGCCACCUCGAUGUCGGCUCAUCACAUCCUGGGGCUGGAUAAGGUCCCAAGGGUUGGGCUGUUCGCCCAUUAAAGUGGUACGUGAGCUGGGUUCAGACCGUCGUGAGACAGGUCGGUCUCUAUCCGCUGUGGGCGUAAGGGAUUUGAGAGAAGCUGCCCCUAGUACGAGAGGACCGGGGUGGACGGACCUCUAGUGUGCCAGUUGUUCUGCCAAGAGCAUUGCUGGGUAGCUACGUCCGGCAGAGAUAACCGCUGUAAGCAUCUAAGUGGGAAACUCGUCUCAAGAUUAGAUCCCUCAUCCGUAUGGAGUAAGACCGCUAGAAGACUACUAGUUUGAUAGGCGGCAGGUGUAAGCGCAGUAAUGUGUUCAGCUUAGCCGUACUAAUGGUCGAGGGCUUACGUUU
RNAcentral lists this ribosomal RNA (1393 nucleotides) under metagenome. RNAcentral describes it as "bacterial LSU rRNA". It matches the Rfam family "Bacterial large subunit ribosomal RNA", at positions 1545 to 2925 of the family's 2925-position model. The record is from RNAcentral.